Molecule: long non-coding RNA, 476 nt
Organism: Passer domesticus (house sparrow)
Lineage: Eukaryota; Metazoa; Chordata; Aves; Passeriformes; Passeridae
Exons: 2
Source: RefSeq, a predicted model, not a curated record
AUCUUAUCCAGAAGGCUAACUGGGAAGAUGUCAUUGCAACAAUGAACAACCAGCUGCCAGGGUAACAUUUAUUUUACAGUCCUCCAUGCCAACAACAAGCGUAGCAGUGGAAACAGAGGACUUAAACAUGUGGGAAGGACUCAACCCUACAACUGCAGACUGGCUCUCCUUUUCCUUAGCUGAUGCCCUGCAAACAGCAGGACUCCAAUCUUCACCCACUAAUUCCUGGAAGGGAACAGCCCUGUGAUGGCAUCACUUGUUGGGAGACAGACAGCUAUGGCCCAUCUGCAGCCUCCUCCCUGACAGAAAGACAAUACUAGGAGGGCAAACAAGGACCAGAAGGAGAUGAAACGUUGAAUUGAAAGAGGAGAGCACAAGUGGAAACAGCACUGAAUGGAGAGACAGAAAAAGGCAAAGGUCACACUACCAGGAAGCUAAUGUCAGAAAAUAAAAGAUGAUUGUGUUUUGUUGCUUUA